This 53-nucleotide non-coding RNA is filed under the name Alexandrium minutum. The record is from RNAcentral. Lineage: Eukaryota; Dinophyceae; Gonyaulacales; Pyrocystaceae.
GGCGCAGGAGUCCCUCUUCUUCCCGGCCUGCGGAGUGCAGGCCGAGGGCGUGA